This is a non-coding RNA of Camellia sinensis, 406 nucleotides long. NCBI's taxonomy places the organism in Eukaryota, Viridiplantae, Streptophyta, Magnoliopsida, Ericales, Theaceae. The record is from RefSeq and is a predicted model, not a curated record.
CAAUUGGCGAAACCUGUCUAAGAGACUUACGCAUCAAUCAGCAAAAAAUACGGUACAGUGGUCCCAAAGAGUGCCAAUUCUCAAGCCAAAGGAAGGUGGAUUCUCCAUUGCCAAUUACUUUCUUAAUUAGGGCUUGUAGAUCUGUGAUUAUUCUCCUGAUCAACAUAGAAGCUUUGAUGGAACUAGUAACUCUUUGUGCUGGUCAUGGGUAGAGGAUAUUCUUGAGAGAGAGAGAGAGAGAGAGUAGCUGAUGAUGAUGCAUAAAUUACUACAUAAAGAUUGGUUUCUGAUGACGUUUAUUAGAAGCAUACUUGCAAAUCAAGAUCAAGUGUUGAAUUUUUUUUCUUGAACUGAUUCUUAGUUCUAGUUUUAAACCUAGUUGACUGAUAUUUUUUUUUGGACUCCG